Molecule: long non-coding RNA, 1092 nt
Organism: Neogale vison (American mink)
Lineage: Eukaryota; Metazoa; Chordata; Mammalia; Carnivora; Mustelidae
Exons: 2
Source: RefSeq, a predicted model, not a curated record
UAAAGUCAUUUUCAUUAAAAUCAUGAAUGAGAGAAGGAUACUGUCACCACUAUUCUUCAACGUUUUGGAUGUUCUAAUUUAGAAGACAAGACAAUGAAGUAUUACGUGUAGUCUACUGUUAGUUGUCUUCAAAACUCUGUUCUCCCCUUCUUCCUUAGAAAUAUAGUUUCAGCUAUGGACAUGGCUGAGAGACAAUAAUUCCCAGUUUCUCCUGAAGCUAAGUGCAGCCAUAUGACUGUGUUUGCACCGGUGGAAUAUGCAUGGAUGUGAUGACGUCAGCCUAUCACUCAAUUGCUUGAAAGGAAGUUGUUUAUCCUCGACUUUUCUCCCACCCUGUUCCUCACCGUUUGGAACAUAGAUGUAACUGUAACUCCACUUUAACCAUGCAGAUGAGUAGAAUGCUCCAGUAGAUGCGGGGGCAAUAAGAUGAAAGGGACAUGGAUCACUGAACAACCUGGAGGAGAAGGGUAUUUGUUUCACCCGUCGGGACUAGUCAGCCAAUAUGGUCCUUCCUCAACAGGACUUGGCCUUUCUUUACUUGAUCAGUUCUGGGUCCGAGAAACUGCUCAGGGAUGGAAACUCGACAAAGGAUCAUGAUUUUUCCACUGGGACAACUGACAGGCUACUGCUCAAGUAGUAUUAAUUUUUUUAGUUUUAAAAGAAAUACUCUUGCUGGUUUCUGUUAUGAGCUGAAUUGUGUUCUCCCAAAAUUCGUAUGUUGAAGUCCUACUGUGACGUAUUUGGAGAUAGGGCCUUUAGGGACAUAAUUAAGGUAGAAUGAGGUAAUUUGGGUAGGCCCGAAUCCAAUAUUACUGGUGUCCUUAUAAGAAUAAUAAAUUAGGGUACAGACCACACACAGACUGAGGAGGCAACCAAUGAGGACCCAAUGAGGAUCCCAGGACUCAAUGAGGAGGCAGCCAUCUUCAAGCCAAGAAAAGAGGCCUCAGAAGAAACUGACCAUACCAAGAAUUUGACCUUGGACUUCUAGCUUCUAGAACAGUGAGGAAGAAACUAACCCUGCCAACAACUUGAUCUUGGACAUCUAGCUUCCAGAACUGUGAGGAAAUAAAUUUCUGUUGUUUAAGCUGCUAA